AUACGGAGGGUGCAAGCGUUACUCGGAAUCACUGGGCGUAAAGCGCGCGCAGGCGGCUAUUUAAGUUGGAUGUGAAAGCCUACGGCUCAACCGUAGAACUGCAUCCAAAACUAUUUAGCUAGAGUGUGGGAGAGGAAGAUGGUAUUAGUUGUGUAGGGGUAAAAUCCGUAGAGAUAACUAGGAAUACCAAAAGCGAAGGCAAUCUUCUGGAACACUACUGACGCUGAGGCGCGAAAGCGUGGGGAGCAAACGGGAUUAGAAACCCCAGUAGUCC
This 274-nucleotide ribosomal RNA is filed under the name uncultured bacterium. RNAcentral's name for it is "partial 16S ribosomal RNA". It matches the Rfam family "Bacterial small subunit ribosomal RNA", at positions 523 to 796 of the family's 1533-position model. The record is from RNAcentral.